CCCAGACUCCUACGGGAGGCAGCAGUGAGGAAUAUUGGUCAAUGGGCUUACGCCUGAACCAGCCAAGUCGCGUGAGGGAAGACUGCCCUAUGGGUUGUAAACCUCUUUUGUCAGGGAGCAACGCCGGCUACGUGUAGCCGGACUGAGAGUACCUGAAGAAAAAGCAUCGGCUAACUACGUGCCAGCAGCCGCGGUAAUACGUAGGGAGCAAGCGUUGUCCGGAAUUACUGGGCGUAAAGGGCGCGUAGGUGGGCGCUUAAGUCAGGUGUGAAAACUCCGGGCUCAACCUGGAGACUGCACUUGAAACUGGGUGUCUUGAGGGCAGGAGAGGAAAGUGGAAUUCCUAGUGUAGCGGUGAAAUGCGUAGAUAUUAGGAGGAACACCAGUGGCGAAGGCGACUUUCUGAACUGUACCUGACGCUGAGGCGCGAAAGCGUGGGUAGCAAACAGGAUUAGAUACCCCCGUAG
Molecule: ribosomal RNA, 467 nt
Filed under: uncultured bacterium
Lineage: Bacteria
Description: bacterial SSU rRNA
Rfam family: Bacterial small subunit ribosomal RNA
Source: RNAcentral